Molecule: ribosomal RNA, 301 nt
Filed under: uncultured bacterium
Lineage: Bacteria
Description: partial 16S ribosomal RNA
Rfam family: Bacterial small subunit ribosomal RNA
Source: RNAcentral
CAGCAGCCACGGGAAUACAGAGGCCUCAAGCGUUGUUCGGAUUCAUUGGGCGUAAAGGGAGCGUAGGCGGUCGGGUAAGUUGGAUGUGAAAUCCUGAGGCUCAACCUCAGAACUGCAUUCAAUACUGCUCGGCUAGAGUAUUGGAGAGGUGAGUGGAAUUCACGGUGUAGCAGUGAAAUGCGUAGAUAUCGUGAGGAAGACCAGCGGCGAAGGCGGCUCACUGGACAAUUACUGACGCUGAUGCUCGAAGGCCAGGGGAGCAAACGGGAUUAGAUACCCCGGUAGUCCCUGUCUCUUAUAC